UGGUGGAGUGAUUUGUCUGGUUAAUUCCGUUAACGAACGAGACCGCUGCCUGCUAAAUAGUUGGAUGAGUGUUUUGACACUGAUUGCAGCUUCUUAGAGGGACAUGGAUUAUUAAAAUCCAGGAAGAUAGCGGCAAUAACA
RNAcentral lists this ribosomal RNA (141 nucleotides) under uncultured eukaryote. Its description in RNAcentral is "partial 18S ribosomal RNA". It matches the Rfam family "Eukaryotic small subunit ribosomal RNA", at positions 1299 to 1458 of the family's 1831-position model. The record is from RNAcentral.